RNAcentral lists this ribosomal RNA (500 nucleotides) under uncultured bacterium. RNAcentral's name for it is "bacterial SSU rRNA". It matches the Rfam family "Bacterial small subunit ribosomal RNA", at positions 17 to 507 of the family's 1533-position model. The record is from RNAcentral.
UCCUGGCUCAGGAUGAACGCUAGCUACAGGCUUAACACGUGCAAGUCGAGGGGCAGCAUGGGGUUAGCUUGCAAAUCCUGAUGGCGACCGGCGCACGGGUGAGUAACGCGUAUCCAACCUUCCCGUCACUCGGGGACAGCCCAGCGAAAGCUGGAUUAACCCCCGAUGUUGUCAUAUGAUAGCAUUAGAGUGUGACGAAAGGCUAACGGUGACGGAUGGGGAUGCGUCUGAUUAGCUUGUUGGCGGGGUAACGGCCCACCAAGGCGACGAUCAGUAGGGGUUCUGAGAGGAAGGUCCCCCACAUUGGAACUGAGACACGGUCCAAACUCCUACGGGAGGCAGCAGUGAGGAAUAUUGGUCAAUGGACGGGAGUCUGAACCAGCCAAGUAGCGUGCAGGACGACGGCCCUAUGGGUUGUAAACUGCUUUUAUAAGGGAAUAAAGUGAGCCUCGUGAGGCUUUUUGCAUGUACCUUAUGAAUAAGGACCGGCUAAUUCCGUG